This 456-nucleotide ribosomal RNA is filed under the name uncultured bacterium. RNAcentral describes it as "bacterial SSU rRNA". It matches the Rfam family "Bacterial small subunit ribosomal RNA", at positions 28 to 478 of the family's 1533-position model. The record is from RNAcentral.
GAUGAACGCUAGCGGCGUGCCUAACACAUGCAAGUCGAACGUGAAGCCGGCUUCGGUUGGUGGAAAGUGGCGGACGGGUGAGUAACACGUAAGUAACCUGCCUCAGAGUGGGGGAUAACCAUUAGAAAUGAUGGCUAAUACCGCAUGGUUUUGCUAAGAUGGGAAUUUUGGCAAAUAAAGCUAAGGCGCUUUGAGAGGGGCUUGCGUCCGAUUAGUUAGUUGGUGGGGUAAAGGCCUACCAAGGCGAUGAUCGGUAGCUGGUCUGAGAGGGUGAACGGCCACACUGGGACUGAGACACGGCCCAGACUCCUACGGGAGGCAGCAGUGAGGAAUUUUCCGCAAUGGGCGCAAGCCUGACGGAGCGACGCCGCGUGAGGGAUGACGGCCUUCGGGUUGUAAACCUCUUUUAUUAAGGAAAAAGGUUUAUGUGUUAAUACCACGUAAACUUGAUGGUAC